AGUGAACGCUGGCGGUAGGCCUAACACAUGCAAGUCGAACGGCAGCACAGUAAGAGCUUGCUCUUACGGGUGGCGAGUGGCGGGCGGGUGAGGAAUACAUCGGAAUCUACUUUUUCGUGGGGGAUAACGUAGGGAAACUUACGCUAAUACCGCAUACGACCUACGGGUGAAAGCAGGGGAUUUUCGGACCUUGCGCGAUUGAAUGAGCCGAUGUCGGAUUAGCUAGUUGGCGGGGUAACGGCCCACCAAGGCGACGAUCCGUAGCUGGUCUGAGAGGAUGAUCAGCCACACUGGAACUGAGACACGGUCCAGACUCCUACGGGAGGCAGCAGUGGGGAAUAUUGGACAAUGGGCGCAAGCCUGAUCCAGCCAUACCGCGUGGGUGAAGAAGGCCUUCGGGUUGUAAAGCCCUUUUGUUGGGAAAGAAAAGCAGCAGGUUAAUACCCCGCUGUUCUGACGGUACCCAAAGAAUAAGCACCGGCUAACUUCGUG
Molecule: ribosomal RNA, 492 nt
Filed under: uncultured bacterium
Lineage: Bacteria
Description: partial 16S ribosomal RNA
Rfam family: Bacterial small subunit ribosomal RNA
Source: RNAcentral